UACGUAGGGGGCAAGCGUUGUCCGGAAUCAUUGGGCGUAAAGCGCGUGUAGGCGGCCCGGUAAGUCCGCUGUGAAAGUCGGGGGCUCAACCCUCGAAUGCCGGUGGAUACUGUCGGGCUAGAGUGCGGAAGAGGCGAGUGGAAUUCCUGAUGUAGCGGUGAAAUGCGCAGAUAUCAGGAGGAACACCAAUUGCGAAGGCAGCUCGCUGGGACGUGACUGACGCUGAGACGCGAAAGCGUGGGGAGCAAACAGG
Molecule: ribosomal RNA, 253 nt
Filed under: uncultured bacterium
Lineage: Bacteria
Description: partial 16S ribosomal RNA
Rfam family: Bacterial small subunit ribosomal RNA
Source: RNAcentral